Molecule: ribosomal RNA, 1043 nt
Filed under: uncultured bacterium
Lineage: Bacteria
Description: bacterial SSU rRNA
Rfam family: Bacterial small subunit ribosomal RNA
Source: RNAcentral
CCGAGGGCGGCAGCUUACACAUGCAAGUCGAGCGGAACGAUGGUAGCUUGCUACCAGGCGUCGAGCGGCGGACGGGUGAGUACUACUUAGGAAUCUACCUAGUAGUGGGGGAUAGCUCGGGGAAACUCGAAUUAAUACCGCAUACGACCUACGGGAGAAAGGGGGCAACUUGUUGCUCUCGCUAUUAGAUGAGCCUAAGUCGGAUUAGCUAGAUGGUGGGGUAAAGGCCUACCAUGGCGACGAUCUGUAGCUGGUCUGAGAGGAUGAUCAGCCACACCGGGACUGAGACACGGCCCGGACUCCUACGGGAGGCAGCAGUGGGGAAUAUUGGACAAUGGGGGAAACCCUGAUCCAGCCAUGCCGCGUGUGUGAAGAAGGCCUUUUGGUUGUAAAGCACUCUAAGCAGUGAAGAAGACUCCUCGGUUAAUACCCGUGGACGAUGACAUUAGCUGCAGAAUAAGCACCGGCUAACUCUGUGCCAGCAGCCGCGGUAAUACAGAGGGUGCAAGCGUUAAUCGGAAUUACUGGGCGUAAAGCGAGCGUAGGUGGCUUGAUAAGUCAGAUGUGAAAUCCCCGGGCUUAACCUGGGAACUGCAUCUGAAACUGUUAGGCUAGAGUAGGUGAGAGGAAGGUAGAAUUCCAGGUGUAGCGGUGAAAUGCGUAGAGAUCUGGAGGAAUACCGAUGGCGAAGGCAGCCUUCUGGCAUCAUACUGACACUGAGGCUCGAAAGCGUGGGUAGCAAACAGGAUUAGAUACCCUGGUAGUCCACGCCGUAAACGAUGUCUACUAGUCGUUGGGUCCCUUGAGGACUUAGUGACGCAGCUAACGCAAUAAGUAGACCGCCUGGGGAGUACGGCCGCAAGGUUAAAACUCAAAUGAAUUGACGGGGGCCCGCACAAGCGGUGGAGCAUGUGGUUUAAUUCGAUGCAACGCGAAGAACCUUACCUGGUCUUGACAUAUCUAGAAUCCUGCAGAGAUGCGGGAGUGCCUUCGGGAAUUAGAAUACAGGUGCUGCAUGGGCUGGUCGUCAGCCUCGUGUCGUG